Molecule: long non-coding RNA, 209 nt
Filed under: Elaeis guineensis (African oil palm)
Lineage: Eukaryota; Viridiplantae; Streptophyta; Magnoliopsida; Arecales; Arecaceae
Description: long non-coding RNA (EGUI_LNC014927)
Source: RNAcentral
GGGGGCUAAAAUCAAUUUGUCUCAAGAAAAAAUAAGAGUUUUGCUUAGAGCACCCACUAAAAGAGCAGAAAGAUUAAAUGAUAGAGCUAUUGGGUUAAGAUUUCUAUUUAGAAGGGAUGAUGCAAUGCAUUUUGAGAAGAUUCAUACUAGAGAUUUAUCUGUGGAGCAUAGACUUCUUCAUCACAUUACUGCAAGAAUCCUCCUCACUC